This is a long non-coding RNA of Oncorhynchus keta (chum salmon), 525 nucleotides long. RefSeq lists it as uncharacterized. The transcript has 3 exons. The record is from RefSeq and is a predicted model, not a curated record. Lineage: Eukaryota; Metazoa; Chordata; Actinopteri; Salmoniformes; Salmonidae.
GAGGAAGAGGAGGAUCUGGAGGUAUGAGUUAUAGGAGAUGAAGAGGAGGAUCUGGAGGUAUGGGUUAUAGGAGAUGAAGAGGAGGAUCUGGAGGUUAUAGGAGAUGAAGAGGAGGAUCUGGAGGUAUGAGUUAUAGGAGAGGAAGAGGAGGAUCUGGAGGUAUGGGUUAUAGGAGAGGAGGAUCUGGAGGUAAGGGUUAUAGGAGAUGAAGAGGAGGAUCUGGAGGUAUGGGUUAUAGGAGAGGAAGAGGAGGAUCUGGAGGUUAUAGGAGAGGAAGAGGAGGAUCUGGAGGUAUGGGUUAUAGGAGAUGAAGAGGAGGAUCUGGAGGUAUGGGUUAUAGGAGAGGAAGAGGAGGAUCUGGAGGUUAUAGGAGAGGAAGAGGAGGAUCUGGAGGUAAGGGUUAUAGGAGAUGAAGAGGAGGAUCUGGAGGUAUGAGUUAUAGGAGAGGAAGAGGAGGAUCUGGAGGUAUGGGUUAUAGGAGAGGAAGAGGAGGAUCUGGAGGUAUGAGUUAUAGGAGAGGAAGAG